GGAGAGGUGGCUGAGUGGUCGAAAGCGCGCCCCUGCUAAGGGUGUAUACCUUCACGGGUAUCGAGGGUUCGAAUCCCUUCCUCUCUACCA
This 90-nucleotide transfer RNA is filed under the name Alphaproteobacteria bacterium. Its description in RNAcentral is "tRNA-Ser". It matches the Rfam family "tRNA". From Rfam's summary of the family: Transfer RNA (tRNA) molecules are approximately 80 nucleotides in length. The record is from RNAcentral. RNAcentral also lists the same sequence under 2 other names. Lineage: Bacteria; Pseudomonadati; Pseudomonadota; Alphaproteobacteria.